This 473-nucleotide ribosomal RNA is filed under the name uncultured bacterium. RNAcentral's name for it is "partial 16S ribosomal RNA". It matches the Rfam family "Bacterial small subunit ribosomal RNA", at positions 355 to 816 of the family's 1533-position model. The record is from RNAcentral.
UGGGGAAUUUUGGACAAUGGGGGAAACCCUGAUCCAGCCAUCCCGCGUGUGCGAUGAAGGCCUUCGGGUUGUAAAGCACUUUUGGCAGGAAAGAAACGUCGCGGGUUAAUACCCCCGCNAAACUGACGGUACCUGCAGAAUAAGCACCGGCUAACUACGUGCCAGCAGCCGCGGUAAUACGUAGGGUGCAAGCGUUAAUCGGAAUUACUGGGCGUAAAGCGUGCGCAGGCGGUUCGGGAAAGAAAGAUGUGAAAUCCCCNGAGCUUAACUUUUGGAACUGCAUUUUUAACUACCGGGCUAGAGUGUGUCAGAGGGAGGUGGAAUUCCGCGUGUAGCAGUGAAAUGCGUAGNUAUGCGGAGGAACACCGAUGGCGAAGGUAGCCUCCUGGGAUAACACUGACGCUCAUGUACGAAAGCNUGGGGAGCAAACAGGAUUAGAUACCCUGGUAGUCCACGCCCUAAACGUGUCCAAC